AACGAACGCUGGCGGCAUGCCUAACACAUGCAAGUCGAACGAGACCUUCGGGUCUAGUGUCGCACGGGUGCGUAACGCGUGGGAACCUGCCCUUAGGUUCGGAAUAACUCCCCGAAAGGGGUGCUAAUACCGGAUAAUGUCUUCGGACCAAAGAUUUAUCGCCUUUGGAUGGGCCCGCGUUGGAUUAGCUAGUUGGUAGGGUAAAAGCCUACCAAGGCGACGAUCCAUAGCUGGUCUGAGAGGAUGAUCAGCCACACUGGGACUGAGACACGGCCCAGACUCCUACGGGAGGGAGCAGUGGGGAAUAUUGGACAAUGGGCGAAAGCCUGAUCCAGCAAUGCCGCGUGAGUGAUGAAGGCCUUAGGGUUGUAAAGCUCUUUUACCCGGGAUGAUAAUGACAGUACCGGGAGAAUAAGCUCCGGCUAACUCCGUG
Molecule: ribosomal RNA, 433 nt
Filed under: uncultured bacterium
Lineage: Bacteria
Description: partial 16S ribosomal RNA
Rfam family: Bacterial small subunit ribosomal RNA
Source: RNAcentral